UGUAGAAGUAGUAGCCACAUUGGUGAU
This 27-nucleotide non-coding RNA is filed under the name Mus musculus (house mouse). Lineage: Eukaryota; Metazoa; Chordata; Mammalia; Rodentia; Muridae. The record is from RNAcentral.